This is a non-coding RNA of Populus trichocarpa (black cottonwood), 156 nucleotides long. Lineage: Eukaryota; Viridiplantae; Streptophyta; Magnoliopsida; Malpighiales; Salicaceae. The record is from Rfam.
UCUAGAACUCGAGAUAUGGGUUGAACACUAAAAAGUGUCUGGGUUACAGGACAGAUUUAGAUUUAUCUUUUGUUGCUAAUAUCUGAGCUUGAAAACAGUGGUUUUGAAUCUUGGACUCUUCAUAAAUGUUUUAGGCCUAUGUCUUCGCUUUUCAGU